RNAcentral lists this ribosomal RNA (410 nucleotides) under uncultured alveolate. RNAcentral describes it as "SSU rRNA". It matches the Rfam family "Eukaryotic small subunit ribosomal RNA", at positions 378 to 796 of the family's 1831-position model. The record is from RNAcentral.
AGAUCCCGGAGAGGGAGCCUGAGAAACGGCUACCACAUCUAAGGAAGGCAGCAGGCGCGCAAAUUACCCAAUCCUGAUACAGGGAGGUAGUGACAAGAAAUAACAACACUGGAAAUUUCAUUUCUAGUGAUUGGAAUGAUAGGAAUCCAAACCCCUUACAGAGUAACAAUUGGAGGGCAAGUCUGGUGCCAGCAGCCGCGGUAAUUCCAGCUCCAAUAGCGUAUAUUAAAGUUGUUGCAGUUAAAAAGCUCGUAGUUGGAUUUCUGCUGGAAGCAGCCAGUCCGCCCUCAGGGGUGUGCACUUGGUGAAUUCUAGCAUCCUUCUGGAUUUCUCCACACUUCAUUGUGUGGAGUUUUUUCCAGGACUUUUACUUUGAGAAAAUUAGAGUGUUUCAAGCAGGCUUGUCGCCU